UAAUAUAUAUGUUUAAUAUUUAUUUGAGCAGUAUAUUUUUAAUCACUAUAAAAUUUAAAAUUUUAAUUUUAAUUUCUAUAAUAAAAUUCUUAAAGUUUUAGCCCGAUAAUAUUUUAUGUUAGCACGUUUAGUCUCUAUUAGUCAUAUUGUUAAGUAAACUCAUAUGUAUCUUUUGAAUAAUUUUUUGUAAAUAUAUUUAUAAUAUUAAGAUUUCACCCAUAAAAAUUUAGAUUUUUUGACAAAUAAUGAACUAAAUAUAAGCGCAAAACCCUCAAGUGAAGAAGUCAAAAAAAUAGAAAUUUGAACAUAGAAAAUAAAUUUUAAACUUAAAUUUAUUGAACUAAAAUUAAAGUUUUAAUAUUUUAUAUAUAACAAAAAUAUAUUUAAUUUUAUUUAUUUUAGUUUUUAUAAUCCAUGUUGAAAUGACUAAAAUAAAAUAAUCUACACAUUAGAGUGACUAGUUCCAAACAAAAGUAACACAAAAACACAAUCUCUAGAAAAGUUGUUUAUUUGCAAAGAUUAACAGCUAAAACUUUGUUUACAAUAACUAAAAAGUAAAAGUUCUACAUUUGAUUUACAGAGAGCAAAACAAAACAUAUUUAAACUAAAUAAUUAUCGACAUAUUUAAAUUACAUAAUUGAAUGAUAUAUUUAUAUUAAGUAAUUAGCUUAUAAAAGCGAUGAAAAAUUUUUAACGGAGUUCUAAUUAAAAAAAAAUUAACAAGGAUCAUAUUUAUGACCUCUUUUAUAGUACUUCUUCGAUGUUAGCCAUACAAUUGGCUAAUUCUUGGAAGACUUUUAGUGCUAUAUUUAUUAUUUUGACAUAUUUUAAAAAAUAUUUUGAAUUAUGAGCAUUAUUAUAAAUAAAAUUUAAUUAUUAAACUAUUUAUUCUGUAAUUCUU
Molecule: long non-coding RNA, 901 nt
Filed under: Cicer arietinum (chickpea)
Lineage: Eukaryota; Viridiplantae; Streptophyta; Magnoliopsida; Fabales; Fabaceae
Description: long non-coding RNA (CARI_LNC001927)
Source: RNAcentral